AUUGAACGCUGGCGGCAGGCUUAACACAUGCAAGUCGAACGGUAGCAGGAGAAAGGUUGCUUUCUUGCUGACGAGUGGCGGACGGGUGAGUAAUGCUUGGGAAUCUGGCUUAUGGAGGGGGAUAACGACGGGAAACUGUCGCUAAUACCGCGUAUUAUCGGAAGAUGAAAGUGCGGGACUGAGAGGCCGCAUGCCAUAGGAUGAGCCCAAGUGGGAUUAGGUAGUUGGUGGGGUAAAGGCCUACCAAGCCUGCGACCUCUAGCUGGUCUGAGAGGAUGACCAGCCACACUGGAACUGAGACACGGUCCAGACUCCUACGGGAGGCAGCAGUGGGGAAUAUUGCGCAAUGGGGGGAACCCUGACGCAGCCAUGCCGCGUGAAUGAAGAAGGCCUUAGGGUUGUAAAGUUCUUUCGGUAUUGAGGAAGGUUGAUGUGUUAAUAGCACAUCAAAUUGACGUUAAAUACAGAAGAAGCACCGGCUAACUCCGUGCCAGCAGCCGCGGUAAUACGGAGGGUGCGAGCGUUAAUCGGAAUAACUGGGCGUAAAGGGCACGCAGGCGGUUAUUUAAGUGAGGUGUGAAAGCCCCGGUCUUAACCUGGGAUUUUCAUUUCAGACUGGGUAACUAGAGUACUUUAGGGAGGGGUAGAAUUCCACGUGUAGCGGAGAAAUGCGCAGAGAUGUGCAGUAAUCCCGUAGUCGACGGCAACCCCACGGGAAUCUACUGACGCUCAUGUGUGAAAGCGUGGGGAGCAAACAGG
RNAcentral lists this ribosomal RNA (759 nucleotides) under Haemophilus influenzae. Its description in RNAcentral is "bacterial SSU rRNA". It matches the Rfam family "Bacterial small subunit ribosomal RNA", at positions 28 to 776 of the family's 1533-position model. The record is from RNAcentral. Lineage: Bacteria; Pseudomonadati; Pseudomonadota; Gammaproteobacteria; Pasteurellales; Pasteurellaceae.